AGGACGAACGCUGGCGGCGUGCCUAAUACAUGCAAGUUGAACGCAACAAAGACACCAGAGCUUGCUCUACCGUCUUUGUUGAGUAGCGAACGGGUGAGUAACGCGUGGGUAACCUGCCUUAUAGCGGGGGAUAACUAUUGGAAACGAUAGCUAAUACCGCAUAACAAUAGAGAUUGCAUAAUCUUUAUUUGAAAGUGCCAACUGGUACACUAUGAGAUGGACCCGCGUUGUAUUAGCUAGUUGGUAGUGUAAUGGACUACCAAGGCGAUGAUACAUAGCCGACCUGAGAGGGUGAUCGGCCACAUUGGGACUGAGACACGGCCCAAACUCCUACGGGAGGCAGCAGUAGGGAAUCUUCGGCAAUGGACGAAAGUCUGACCGAGCAACGCCGCGUGAGUGAAGGAGGUUUUCGGAUCGUAAAACUCUGUUGUUAGGGAAGAAUGUUGAUUAGAGUGGAAAAUUAAUCAAGUGACGGUAUCUAACCAGAAAGGGACGGCUAACUACGUG
Molecule: ribosomal RNA, 507 nt
Filed under: uncultured bacterium
Lineage: Bacteria
Description: bacterial SSU rRNA
Rfam family: Bacterial small subunit ribosomal RNA
Source: RNAcentral